UACGUAGGGGGCAAGCGUUGUCCGGAAUCAUUGGGCGUAAAGCGCGCGUAGGCGGCCCGGUAAGUCCGUUGUGAAAGUCAAAGGCUCAACCUUUGAACGCCGAUGGAUACUGCCGGGCUAGAGUCCGGAAGAGGCGAGUGGAACUCCUGGUGUAGCGGUGGAAUGCGCAGAUAUCAGGAAGAACACCAACGGCGAAGGCAGCUCGCUAGGACGGUACUGACGCUGAGACGCGAAAGCGUGGGGAGCGAACAGG
Molecule: ribosomal RNA, 253 nt
Filed under: uncultured bacterium
Lineage: Bacteria
Description: partial 16S ribosomal RNA
Rfam family: Bacterial small subunit ribosomal RNA
Source: RNAcentral